GACGAACGCUGGCGGCGUGCUUAACACAUGCAAGUCGAACGGAAAGGCCCUGCUUUUGUGGGGUGCUCGGGUGGCGAACGGGUGAGUAACACGUGAGUAACCUGACCUUGACUUUGGGAUAACUUCAGGAAACUGGGGCUAAUACCGGAUAGGAGCUCCUGCUGCAUGGUGGGGGUUGGAAAGUUUCGGCGGUUGGGGAUGGAUGCGCGGCUUAUGAGCUUGUUGGUGGGGUAGUGGCUUACCAAGGCUUUGACGGGUAGCCGGCAUGAGAGGGGGAACGGGGACAUGGGGACUGAGAGACGGCCCAGACUGCUACGGGAGGCAGCAGUGGGGAAUAUUGCACAGUGGGCGGAAGCGUGUUGAAGCAACGCCGCGGGCGGGAUGACGGCCUGCGGGGUGUGAACCGCUUUCGCCUGUGACGAAGCGUGAGUGACGGUAAUGGAUAAAGAAGCACCGGCUAACUACGUG
RNAcentral lists this ribosomal RNA (468 nucleotides) under uncultured bacterium. RNAcentral describes it as "partial 16S ribosomal RNA". It matches the Rfam family "Bacterial small subunit ribosomal RNA", at positions 28 to 507 of the family's 1533-position model. The record is from RNAcentral.